UACGUAGGGGGCUAGCGUUGUCCGGAUUUAUUGGGCGUAAAGAGCGUGUAGGCGGCCAGGUAGGUCUGGUGUGAAAACUCGAGGCUUAACCUCGAGAUGUCAUCGGAAACCAUCUGGCUAGAGUCCGGAAGAGGAGAGUGGAAUUCCUGGUGUAGCGGUGAAAUGCGCAGAUAUCAGGAAGAACACCAAUGGCGAAAGCAGCUCUCUGGGACGGUACUGAUGCUGAGACGCGAAAGCGUGGGGAGCGAACAGG
This 253-nucleotide ribosomal RNA is filed under the name uncultured bacterium. RNAcentral describes it as "partial 16S ribosomal RNA". It matches the Rfam family "Bacterial small subunit ribosomal RNA", at positions 524 to 776 of the family's 1533-position model. The record is from RNAcentral.